RNAcentral lists this long non-coding RNA (947 nucleotides) under Gallus gallus (chicken). RNAcentral describes it as "long non-coding RNA NONGGAT001212". Lineage: Eukaryota; Metazoa; Chordata; Aves; Galliformes; Phasianidae. The record is from RNAcentral.
UCUCGCCUUACUCAGACCAAGUACUCUUGUCCAAAGGCCUCUGCUGUCGCCACGCUAAACCAGUGGCUGAACCUGCCUGUCACACCUCUAGAAGCGGAGCGGUAAAGAGCUGCUCCUGCACAUGUGAUGCGUGAGCCAAAGCCCGUUCAAGAGGCAGAAAAAGAGCCCUACUGUUCGGUUUUUUUUCCCCAGCUGGCGCUUUCCCAGAGCUGCCUCCACCCAGACCCAGGGCUGCCGGAGUGUGCCUGAGCACGGGCCAGGUGUCCUUACCAUGACCGGCCGGGCCCCCAAAAAAACAGUUUCCAGACCACCGGUGCUCAGCACCACCCGACUGCCCUGCUCCCACGCCACGCUGCGGUCGGGGGAACGCAAACUGCCCACCAACGGUCGGGCUGAACCCCCUGCACGGGGCGGGGGUCGCUCGGCACCCCGCGGCCCCAGGCACUGCCCCCGCCCCGCAGCUCCACUCGCCUGGUUGGGGUCGGUGGCCCGGAAGACGUGGCAGGCCAUGGGGGAGUCGGGGUUGUCGGGCUGCGCCUUGAUCAGGCCAGGUUGGAUGGGACCCUGGGCAGCCUGAUGUAGCGAAUGGCAGCUCUGUCUGUGCAGCCAUUUCAUCUAUCACAUCUGGACCAUCACUUCACUGCUAGUGUUAAAGGAUUUAGACCUGCAAAAAUGGAACCACUUCAAAAUAGAUUUAGGGGAACUGGAAUGAGCGAAGUUCCUAAGAAAAUAAUCCCUAGCUAAAAGAACAUCAACAUCUGUAGAACGUGAAGAACCUUCCACAUUUAUCUCUGUUCAGUGUAACUGAUACUCAGUGUUGCUCUGAUUGAAGGAGACCGUGCAUUAUCUUAUUUGCCCUCUUCAAAGAUGCAUUUGAUUGAGAAACAAAUCCUUCUUUUUGUCUUUUUUUUUUGUUUCCAUUUAAGAGUUAACCCACGAAACUUUCU